Molecule: ribosomal RNA, 253 nt
Filed under: uncultured organism
Description: partial 16S ribosomal RNA
Rfam family: Bacterial small subunit ribosomal RNA
Source: RNAcentral
UACGUAGGGGGCGAGCGUUGUCCGGAAUUACUGGGCGUAAAGGGCGUCUAGGUGGCACGAUGCGUCGGGAGUGAAAUGCACGGGCUCAACCCGUGAGGUGCUCCUGAAACGGUCGAGCUGGAGGGCCGGAGAGGGAAGCGGAAUUGCCGGUGUAGCGGUGAAAUGCGUAGAUAUCGGCAGGAACACCAGUGGCGAAGGCGGCUUCCUGGACGGUACCUGACACUGAAGCGCGAAAGCGUGGGGAGCGAACGGG